This 75-nucleotide transfer RNA is filed under the name Caudoviricetes sp. RNAcentral describes it as "tRNA-Met". It matches the Rfam family "tRNA". Rfam says of the family: Transfer RNA (tRNA) molecules are approximately 80 nucleotides in length. Their secondary structure includes four short double-helical elements and three loops (D, anti-codon, and T loops). Lineage: Duplodnaviria; Heunggongvirae; Uroviricota; Caudoviricetes. The record is from RNAcentral.
AGCGAGGUAGAGCAGUUGGUAGCUCGUUGGGCUCAUAUCCCAAAGGUUGCAGGUUCGAGUCCUGUCCUCGCUUCA